CCUACGGGAGGCAGCAGUGAGGAAUAUUGGUCAAUGGGCGGAAGCCUGAACCAGCCAAGUAGCGUGCAGGAUGACGGACCUACGGGUUGUAAACUGCUUUUAUACGGGAAUAACGCGCCUUACGUGUAGGGCUUUGCAUGUACCGUAUGAAUAAGGACCGGCUAAUUCCGUGCCAGCAGCCGCGGUAAUACGGAAGGUCCGGGCGUUAUCCGGAUUUAUUGGGGUUAAAGGGAGCGUAGGCCGCAUGUCAAGCGUGCUGUGAAAUGUCCGGGCUCAACCCGGGCCUUGCAGCGCGAACUGGCGGCCUUGAGUCCGCGGAAGGCAGGCGGAAUUCGUGGUGUAGCGGUGAAAUGCUUAGAUAUGACGAAGAACCCCGAUUGCGAAGGCAGCUUGCUGCAGCGGAACUGACGCUGAUGCUCGAAAGCGCGGGUAUCGAACAGGAUUAGAUACCCCUGUAGUC
Molecule: ribosomal RNA, 460 nt
Filed under: uncultured bacterium
Lineage: Bacteria
Description: partial 16S ribosomal RNA
Rfam family: Bacterial small subunit ribosomal RNA
Source: RNAcentral